Molecule: ribosomal RNA, 443 nt
Filed under: uncultured bacterium
Lineage: Bacteria
Description: partial 16S ribosomal RNA
Rfam family: Bacterial small subunit ribosomal RNA
Source: RNAcentral
GAUGAAUGCUGGCGGCAUGCCUAACACAUGCAAGUCGAUCGGUAAGGCUCUUCGGAGUACACGAGAGGCGGACGGCUGAGUAACGCGUAGGAACACACCCUGCAGUGAGGGAUAAGACACCGAAAGGUGUUCUAAUACCGCAUACGGUCUUCGGAUUAAAGCAUUUAUGCGCUGAAGGAGUGGCCUGCGUCAUAUUAGAUAGUUGGUGAGGUAAUGGCUCACCAAGUCGAUGAUGUGUAGCUGGUCUGAGAGGAUGAUCAGCCAGACUGGAACUGAGACACGGUCCAGACUCCUACGGGAGGCAGCAGUGAGGAAUAUUUCACAAUGAGCGAAAGCUUGAUGGAGCAAUGCCGCGUGCAGGAUGAAGGCCCUCGGGUUGUAAACUGCUUUUAUAAGAGAAGAUUAUGACGGUAACUUAUGAAUAAGGGACGGCUAACUACGUG